Molecule: long non-coding RNA, 2050 nt
Organism: Pogona vitticeps (central bearded dragon)
Lineage: Eukaryota; Metazoa; Chordata; Lepidosauria; Squamata; Agamidae
Source: Ensembl
AUUUCAAAGGCUGUCAUACAGAGGGAGGACAAGAUCUGUUCUCGAUCAUCCCAGAGUGCAAGACAUGCAAUAAUGAGCUCAAGUUAAAGGAAGCCAGAUUUCGGUUGAAUAUGAGGAAAAACUUCCUAACUGUUAGAGCAGUAUGAAAGUGGAGCCAGUGAAUUCAGGAGUAAGUGAGGGCUCCAACACUGGAGGCAUUCAAGAAAAUCUUAGAUAAUCACCUAGCACACUGGUUCUUAACCUUGGGUUACUCAGGAGUUUUGGACUGCAACUCCCAGAAGCCUUCACCACCAGCUGUCCUGACUGGGGUUUCUGGGAGUUGCAGUUCAAAAGCAUCCGAGUAACAAAGGUUAAGAACCACUGACCUAGCAGAUCUGCUUUGAUGGUAUUCCUGCACUGAGCAGGGGGUUGGACUUGAUGGCCUUGUGGGCCCUUCCAACUUCACUUUUCUAUGAUUCUAUGAUACUAUAGUCAGUACUACGUGUAUUUGCAGAAAGAGGGUAUUGCAGAGUCAGGGUGGAGAGGGGAGAUUAUGGGGUGCUCUGCCAGAUGAUCAGAUCCCAGCCAGCUGAGAGUUUCUGCCUUGAUUUGGGCUCAGAAGCAGAUAGGUUGCUGGUCUGAUUCUUUCACUGAAUUUAUUUAUUUUUAAUUUAUUUAUUAGAUUUUUAUCCUGCCCUUUUAGACAGAGUCUACUCAGGGCGGGUUCCAUUAAACAUUAUAAACUAAAACAGUUAAAACAAUUCAAAACAGUCUGCAUGCAUUCCUUCCUUUUUGCCUCUUUCCCUCUCUUCUCUCUUCCGUCUUCUUUCCGAUGCAGGCCGUGCUAGUCAAAAGAACUGCUGUGUUCCACCAGGCAGAGAAAGGCACAAAGGACGCUAGAGAGCAGGUUGUGCAGGAAAAUGAUGGAGCUGCUGCCUUGCCAGAUGGUGGAACAAGCUGUGGGUCUUCAGCUGUCACUAUGGAAAUGGAUUCAGCCCAGCCUGAUCAGGUAGGAGAAGUCGAAUCAGAGGGAAGCGCUGGGAAUGGUGGGAAUGGGAAGAUGUCGUCUGGAUGUCCCGGUUCCAAAAUAUUGUACGGAUAAAGCGAGCCUUACUGGAUCUGUCCAACGGCCCAUCUUGUCCGAUGUAGUGUCUUCUACAGUGGCUAGCUGGAUUCCUCUAGGGAGCUCAAAAGCAGAACAGGAGAGCAUUGAAUCCUCUCCUUUUAUUCCUCCUCAGCAACUGGUAUCCAAACUCCCGUUGCCUAGAGAUAUAGCUGGAUAACCUUCCUGUGCGUAUUACUCACAGGUAGCCUUCUAUUCUGUGAUUUUUCUCUCUUCUUUUCAUUCCAUUGAUAUUGGUGGAGGAAAGCAUAAGUUGUGGCAGUUCAUUUUAUAGUUUAAUUAUGUGCUCUAUUUAUGCAUUUUUUUUACUACCAAGGCUCUCAGAAAUUUACAGGCCUCUCUUGUGAGCUCCAGUGGGAGAGUCCUGGCCUUCUAGCUUACGUACCUUCUAAGCGACACAGCACAAAAGGAAAAGUGAUGGAGACGGAGGAGGAAAAAAGCAAGCUCAACUGACCUGUUCUUGAGUUCCCUUCGUGCUUGUAGAGAAACUAGAAACAUUUUAAAGGGAGAGGAGCAGUACGGAGAUGAAGUGUUGCGGCUUGUGCAGCGUCCUCUGGCUUCCUCGUGUUUCUUCCAUGGCAGCUGGUUGCAAGGGCUGUUUCUGGAAGACAGACAAAGGGGAGAACGAGGAAUCCUGAUGCAGCUGGCUUAGCCAUGUGACUCUGUUCGUCUCCAUUCCCUCUGUCUCUUAAUGCCUCAAACAUGUCGAUCCCCUUUUUUUAUGGUUUUGGAUUCUCAUAUGAGAUGGGAUGUGUGUUAGGUACUCUAUCUGGCUACGGAGCCAGAGGCUGGGAGUUCAAUCCCCCGCCCCCACUGUGCCUCCCAGGAGAAAAGCCAGCCUGGGUGGCCUUGAGCAAGCUGCACAGUCCCAGGGCUCCCUCUAGAGGAAGGGAAGGGGAUACCACUUCUGAGUACAGUACUCUAGCUAGAAAACUCUGAAAAUGGUCG